Long non-coding RNA from Podarcis raffonei (Aeolian wall lizard), 510 nucleotides. RefSeq lists it as uncharacterized. The record is from RefSeq and is a predicted model, not a curated record. The transcript is spliced from 2 exons. Lineage: Eukaryota; Metazoa; Chordata; Lepidosauria; Squamata; Lacertidae.
CCAGUCCCUCCCCGCCCACCCUAACCCUUCACCGCACUCCGCGUCUCUGCUAUGACUGGAAACUGGCAGGGUAGCAGCGGAGGAGGGUGGGCGUUUGCGUGUGUGUGUGCGCGCGCGUGUGUGUGUGCGAGCGCGUGUUGUUUUUAAAACCCUUGGACCGGACUGGAUCGGUACUCAAACAUCAUAGCGAGCGCAAUGCACCUUAUCGGAGACAAAGGAAAAAGCCUCCCCAGAAGCUUUUCCGGCCCUGGCUGCGGAUGGAACGUUGACGAGAGACAAAGUCUCCUUUGGCUGCCGAUCCAUUGAUUUGUAACGUUCUAGAACGCGCUGGGAGUUCUGCGCUCUGGAGGAGUAACCAGGCGUUCUACCGGAUCUGCAAUGGCAAAAGAAUUCGAGACGUGGAAGGAAGGGUGGACGAGGGAGACAAAGCAUGCCUCCAGUGUUUAAAACGGCCUCCCCUUCUUGAACUUUAAAUCAAAACCGACAUAAAUACACCCAGUAUUUUGUCCA